CCUACGGGUGGCAGCAGUGGGGAAUAUUGGACAAUGGGGGGAACCCUGAUCCAGCCAUGCCGCGUGUGUGAAGAAGGCCCUCGGGUUGUAAAGCACUUUCAGUGAGGAAGAACGCCUGGUGGUUAAUACCCAUCAGGAAAGACAUCACUCACAGAAGAAGCACCGGCUAACUCCGUGCCAGUAGCCGCGGUAAUACGGAGGGUGCGAGCGUUAAUCGGAAUUACUGGGCGUAAAGCGCGCGUAGGUGGCUUGAUAAGCCGGUUGUGAAAGCCCCGGGCUCAACCUGGGAACGGCAUCCGGAACUGUCAAGCUAGAGUGCAGGAGAGGAAGGUAGAAUUCCCGGUGUAGCGGUGAAAUGCGUAGAGAUCGGGAGGAAUACCAGUGGCGAAGGCGGCCUUCUGGACUGACACUGACACUGAGGUGCGAAAGCGUGGGUAGCAAACAGGAUUAGAUACCCCGGUAGUC
Molecule: ribosomal RNA, 465 nt
Filed under: Vreelandella stevensii
Lineage: Bacteria; Pseudomonadati; Pseudomonadota; Gammaproteobacteria; Oceanospirillales; Halomonadaceae
Description: partial 16S ribosomal RNA
Rfam family: Bacterial small subunit ribosomal RNA
Source: RNAcentral